RNAcentral lists this ribosomal RNA (245 nucleotides) under uncultured Eubacteriales bacterium. Its description in RNAcentral is "uncultured Clostridiales bacterium partial 16S ribosomal RNA". It matches the Rfam family "Bacterial small subunit ribosomal RNA", at positions 524 to 768 of the family's 1533-position model. The record is from RNAcentral. Lineage: Bacteria; Bacillati; Bacillota; Clostridia; Eubacteriales.
UACGUAGGGGGCGAGCGUUGUCCGGAAUGACUGGGCGUAAAGGGCGUGUAGGCGGCCGAUUAAGUCUGGAGUGAAAGUCCUGCUUUCAAGGUGGGAAUUGCUUUGGAGACUGGUUGGCUUGAGUGCGGAAGAGGUAAGUGGAAUUCCCAGUGUAGCGGUGAAAUGCGUAGAGAUUGGGAGGAACACCAGUGGCGAAGGCGACUUACUGGGCCGUAACUGACGCUGAGGCGCGAAAGCGUGGGGAG